UGAUGGUCUCUGUAUUUAUAUUUAAGAAAUAAUUUUUUAAUAUAAAGUAUUUAUUUUUUAAAACUGAUUAAUUUUUCGUUUAUUGAUGGUCACUUUUUUUCCACCUCUUCUUCCAGAAAAUUUGGUCUGUAGGGACUCUUUACCCUUCUCCAGACCGAUAUGGAUUCAAAGUAUAUCAUCUAUUUACAUGUAAAAAUUAAAAUUUCAAAGAGGUGGCAGCCCCUACCAGUCUCCUUAGGUCCGCGUGCAAGCUUGAAAUUGCUAUUAGUAGAAUGUUGUAUCUCUGGUCUUCUUCGGUUCAAAAUCUAUCCCACGAGUCCAACUUUCUCCAUUACCAUAGACUUGUUUUUCUCCUUGUAUUGAACACAUGUGAAAUGCAGCCAAGGAAGCAUAAGCUCUUUCUCAGCAAUCACACAUUCUUCACUACAGCAAAGAUGUCAACACCUUUAAUGGCUGGUGGACAACUACUACAGUAGCUUUAUUCACUGUAACUUCAUCUAAUGCAUCAUGUACUGCACUGCGCUUGUCUCCUUAUCCAGCCCAAGCAUUUCUGGAUUGUUUACUCAUCCUCAGCCUUUGCCCACCAGACACUUGCAGUGCUCAUCCUCUUGCAGAGGUAUUAUUGCAUGAAUGGUUACUCUCAACCACCAAAGUAACUGUCUGCAGACAGAUCCAAUCUUGGUGAAUGAAUCAUAAGAGAGUAGAUGAUAAUUAAAAAGCCUAGCUCACUUUUUCCUUUAGAAUAAGCUAAGCUUCAUGAUAUAGCAUACAUCUAUUCAUGGGAAGAUUAUGAAAACAUUCGGUUUAAGGUAAUGACAGGUACCUUUCCACAGGAGAUAUCAAGGGACAAGAAGGCUUUGAAAAUUUCAAACUGACAUGUUCAAGCUCAAAUUUCACCCAUUAUACGUACAAAUGUAGUGCUUUUAUUAGUAGUGUUAACAAAAUUAAUAGGUUUAUUUAAAUUUUAUUUUUUAAAAAAUAAUAUAAUCGUGGUGGUCAAAAAGAUGAUUUGUGAAGAAGGAAAAAUUGAAGAAAGAGCAACUUCUUAAAGACGGAAUCCGUAUGAUAAUAUUAAAAUAAUAGUGAAAUAUAAAAUUUAAUUUUUUAAUUUGCAUUGAUCUUCCUAGAGAAAGGGCUUCGUGUGGUAGACGCGCGAGGGAAGAUAACAAGAGGAGAAAGAAAGGGAAAGGCGGGGUUGUUUCAUAUUCAAACAGACAACGAAAGACCUCGGAUACGGUAAAAAGCCCCCACCACCCCGUUGUCCCAAAACCUCCUAGCUGCUCUGCCUGCCUCGAUCUUCGUGCAAUUUUUAAGCCCUGCCCCACUUCCCCUCUAUCUGCACAAAACCCAUUCUCCUCUCCGCUUUCCCUAAACCCAAAUCGUUCCUUCUCUUUGAGUUUGAGAUCCGACCUCUUCCUUUCUCUCCCUCUCUCUGCAGAACCAGGGUCUACACACUUCAGGAUGUGCGUUCCGAUUCAUCUCCAAGCUCUCGCUUCUCAUGGUUUUCCUCUCAUGCUUGUGCAGUUCAUUGAGAGUCGGUUUCUCCCCAAAAGGUUCGAAGGCAGUAGUGAAGCAGCUGAAGGUCAUCAUCUCUUUGAACAUUGAACAUGGCAUAUUUACUUGCUUUUAAGGUCUGCAGAAUUUAUGCAUUGAUAUAAUUGAGAUAUGGAAUAGGGAAUGAAGCCAUCGGUCCGUGUAGCAUAGGGUAGUUUGUCAGUUCCUUGUAAAUUUUUUAGCUGAUACAAACAAUGUUUUAUUGUUAUUAUAUUAUUAUCCUUUGAUUUUUUAUAUGCCAUUAUCUAUUUAAACA
This is a long non-coding RNA of Manihot esculenta (cassava), 1810 nucleotides long. RefSeq lists it as uncharacterized. NCBI's taxonomy places the organism in Eukaryota, Viridiplantae, Streptophyta, Magnoliopsida, Malpighiales, Euphorbiaceae. The record is from RefSeq and is a predicted model, not a curated record. The transcript has 2 exons.